This 253-nucleotide ribosomal RNA is filed under the name uncultured bacterium. RNAcentral describes it as "partial 16S ribosomal RNA". It matches the Rfam family "Bacterial small subunit ribosomal RNA", at positions 524 to 776 of the family's 1533-position model. The record is from RNAcentral.
UACAGAGGUCCCGAGCGUUGUUCGGAUUCACUGGGCGUAAAGGGUGCGUAGGUGGCUUUGCAAGUCUGAUGUGAAAUCUCCGGGCUUAACCCGGAAAUGGCAUUAGAAACUGUGACGCUUGAGGCUUGGAGGGGGAACUGGAAUUCUCGGUGUAGCAGUGAAAUGCGCAGAUAUCAGGAGGAACACCGGUGGCGAAGGCGGUUCUCUGGGCAUUACCUGACGCUGAGGAGCGAAAGUGUGGGGAGCGAACAGG